CCCUUAGAUGUUCUGGGCUGCACGCGCGCUACACUGACACACUCAGCGAGUUCCUGUACCGAGAGGUUCGGGUAAUCAUGUGAGCGUGUGUCGUGAUGGGGAUAGAAUAUUGUAAUUAUUGCUCUUCAACGAGGAAUUCCUAGUAAGCGCAAGUCAGCAGCUUGCGCUGAUUACGUCCCUGCCCUUUGUACACACCGCCCGUCGCUCCUACCGAUUGGGUGAUCCGGUGAAUGACUCGGACUUUGACGUUCCUAGACACUAGGUUCGUCGAGGGAAGUUUUGUGAACCUUAUCACUUGGAGGAAGGAGAAGUCGUANCA
Molecule: ribosomal RNA, 319 nt
Filed under: uncultured eukaryote
Lineage: Eukaryota
Description: partial 18S ribosomal RNA
Rfam family: Eukaryotic small subunit ribosomal RNA
Source: RNAcentral